GGGAGCGAAAGCUUAGAGUCUUGCCAGAGUGUGAUGAGACUUGGACUCGACCAGCGUUGGAAAACAAUGUGACCUACACUGGGACAUACGAGUCCUGACAGCCAUUUCUGAAAAACCUAGCUAAGUCCAGGUCUCCUGCCUGGGAGCAAAUAUUCUCUCACUGCAUCUCAGGAUUACAGACCUCCAGUCCCUGGUUCCACAUUUCUCAGCAACAUGAGCUGAUGGCUGUUCCCGGAGGAUCAACUUGCCAAUACCACCAGCUAGUCCCACGCUUGGAUUGAGAGCAAGCAGAAGAGAUGCAGGUCCUUGCAACAGGAUGCAUUCCACACAUGUCCCCUGGUGAGGUCCCAGGGGAUGUGGGCAGAGCCCAGCAGUGUCCACUACAGCCCACGCGUCCCAACUGCACCUGGGCUUUGGUGCAUGAUUACACAAGCUUGGCAAUGUCCAACCAGAAUCAAAGACGAAGCAUUCCGAUAUGAGGACCCUGGAGCCCUGUAUCCAGCAGAGAUGAGCUCCAGAACUUGAACCUCAGGCUGGUACUCCUCCCCACUCAGCUUCAGCCCCUGGGAAGCAGAAUUAAAUCCAUUCCACACAAUUUUGCAUAAUGGAGAUGUUACUUUGUGAUGUUAAUCACAUAUGCAUAAAGUUAAUAGUUUUGUGUUUAAGGAAAAGCCUUAUUUCCAAGGCUGUUCCAAGUUUUUAUCAAGUCUGUCUUUCUCCCUUGCCCUCCAUGAAUGUAAAUGCAGGAUCAAGGAAUGCCACAGGACAGAGAUAUUAAUAUUUGUUCCUCUGCUAAAGCUUAACACAGUCGAAAGAGCGUGGACUUUGGAACGAACCAAGCUAGUUUUAUUUCUGCUUUUGUGUCUUAAAAAAAUCCUUCUCAACUCUGAAGUCACGAAGAUAUACUUCAGUGUAUUUUCUAAAGGCUUUAUAGCCUUUCACAUUUAGAUAUUUAAUCCAGUUAGAAUUGAUUUUUCUAUCUGGGUUUUUUCCGGUUUAGAUUACACAGAUGUCAAAGAAACAUCUAUUGAAAAGACCAUCCUUUCUGCAGAGUAUCACCUUGUCAUAUAUCUAGUGUCCAUACAAAUGUGAGUUUGUUUUAGACUCUGCUCUAGUGGUCUGUUUAUCCAUCCCUGGAACAAAACCACGUGUUAAUCAGUAUGGCUUACAAGUCUUUUCAUCUAGUAGGACAGGUUCUCCUACUUUACUAUUCUUAUGGACUUCCUCACCAAUUCUUGCCCCUUUGUACUUCAGUAUAAACUAUAGAACCAGCUUCUCAAAGUAAUUGCUGGAAUUUUGAUUGGGAUUGCUGAAUCAAUAAAUCAUUUGGGGGAGAGUUGACAUACAGUACACUUCCUUCCAUUUAUGUAAAGUUAAAAGCUCAAAAAACUAUAAUACUUAGAGAGUGAUAAAUUUAAAAUACAGCAAAGAACCAAUUACCAUCAUAGUCAGUGGAGUGAUUACAUCUGAGAGGGUAGUAAGAGGCUUUGAUUUCGAAGGGAUACACAAGAAACCUUUGUUUUAUUUUUUGACCUCAUGGUAGUUAUAUGAGGGUCUACCUUGUAAUUAUUUAUUAAAACGUGUAUCUAU
Molecule: long non-coding RNA, 1590 nt
Organism: Cervus elaphus (red deer)
Lineage: Eukaryota; Metazoa; Chordata; Mammalia; Artiodactyla; Cervidae
Exons: 3
Source: RefSeq, a predicted model, not a curated record